AUUAAACGCUGGCGGCAUGCCUUACACAUGCAAGUCGAACGGCAGCACGGGGGCAACCCUGGUGGCGAGUGGCGGACGGGUGAGUAAAGCAUCGGAACGUAUCCUGGAGUGGGGGAUAACGUAGCGAAAGUUACGCUAAUACCGCAUAUUCUGUGAGCAGGAAAGCAGGGGAUCGCAAGACCUUGCGCUCUGGGAGCGGCCGAUGUCGGAUUAGCUAGUUGGUGGGGUAAAGGCCUACCAAGGCGACGAUCCGUAGCGGGUCUGAGAGGAUGAUCCGCCACACUGGGACUGAGACACGGCCCAGACUCCUACGGGAGGCAGCAGUGGGGAAUUCUGGACAAUGGGCGGAAGCCUGAUCCAGCCAUGCCGCGUGAGUGAAGAAGGCCUCGGUUGUAAGAC
RNAcentral lists this ribosomal RNA (399 nucleotides) under uncultured bacterium. RNAcentral describes it as "bacterial SSU rRNA". It matches the Rfam family "Bacterial small subunit ribosomal RNA", at positions 29 to 431 of the family's 1533-position model. The record is from RNAcentral.